This 589-nucleotide ribosomal RNA is filed under the name uncultured bacterium. RNAcentral's name for it is "partial 16S ribosomal RNA". It matches the Rfam family "Bacterial small subunit ribosomal RNA", at positions 355 to 1375 of the family's 1533-position model. The record is from RNAcentral.
UGGGGAAUUUUGGACAAUUGGGCGAAAGCCUGAUCCAGCAAUGCCGCGUGUGUGAAGAAGGCCUUCGGGUUGUAAAGCACUUUUGUCCGGAAAGAAAUCCUUGGCUCUAAUACAGUCGGGGGAUGACGGUACCGGAAGAAUAAGCACCGGCUAACUACGUGCCAGCAGCCGCGGUAAUACGUAGGGUGCAAGCGUUAAUCGGAAUUACUGGGCGUAAAGCGUGCGCAGGCGGUUUGCUAAGACCGAUGUGAAAUCCCCGGGCUCAACCUGGGAACUGCAUUGGUGACUGGCAGGCUAGAGUAUAGCAGAGGGGGGUAGAAUUCCACGUGUAGCAGUGAAAUGCGUAGAGAUGUGGAGGAAUACCGAUGGCGAAGGCAGCCCCCUGGGCCAAUACUGACGCUCAUGCACGAAAGCGUGGGGAGCAAACAGGAUUAGAUACCCCUGGUAGUCCACGCCCCUAAACGAUGUCAACUAGUUGUUGGGGAUUCAUUUUCCUUAGUAACGUAGCUAACGCGUGAAGUUGACCGCCUGGGGAGUACGGUCGCAAGAUUAAAACUCAAAGGAAUUGACGGGGUCAUAGCUGUUUCCU